GUUUAACCGACAUCAUCAGGUUUUACCUGACAGGUAGGGAAGAGGGUGCAAACCCCUCGCAGCCCCCGCUGCUGUGAUGCUGACGACCCCGCAAUACCACUGAUCGACUGAUUGGGAAGGGCGGGCAAGAAAGACGCUAAGCCAGAAGACCGGCCUGAUGAUGCAAAUGACA
This 172-nucleotide non-coding RNA is filed under the name Mangrovibacter sp. MFB070. RNAcentral also lists the same sequence under 1 other name. The record is from RNAcentral. Lineage: Bacteria; Pseudomonadati; Pseudomonadota; Gammaproteobacteria; Enterobacterales; Enterobacteriaceae.